GUAGUUAGCCGGGGCUUCCUUGCAGGGUACCGUCAUUUGUUUCGUCCCCUGCGACAGAGAUUUACAACCCGAAGGCCUUCUUCUCUCACGCGGCGUUGCUGGGUCAGGCUUGCGCCCAUUGCCCAAUAUUCCCCACUGCUGCCUCCCGUAGGAGUCUGGACCGUGUCUCAGUUCCAGUGUGGCCGAUCAGCCUCUCAGCUCGGCUACCCAUCGCAGGCUUGGUGGGCUGUUAUCUCACCAACUACCUAAUGGGACGCGAACCCCUCCUUCAGCGGAUUGCUCCUUUGACCUCAUCCCGAUGCCGGGUCGUGGUCUUAUGCGGUAUUAGCACUUGUUUCCAGGUGUUAUCCCCCUCUGAAGGUCAGGUUGUUCACGCGUUACUCACCCGUUCGCCACUAAAAUUUAUCUUCCAUCCGAAAACUUCUGAUAAAUCUCCGUUCGACUUGCAUGUGUUAGGCACGCCGCCAGCGUUCGUCCUGAGCCAUGAUCAAACUCUGA
Molecule: ribosomal RNA, 498 nt
Filed under: uncultured bacterium
Lineage: Bacteria
Description: partial 16S ribosomal RNA
Source: RNAcentral